Molecule: non-coding RNA, 29 nt
Filed under: Mus musculus (house mouse)
Lineage: Eukaryota; Metazoa; Chordata; Mammalia; Rodentia; Muridae
Also listed under: 1 other name
Source: RNAcentral
GUCACAGGAAAGGAAAUGGAAACUGCAGG